UUUGCAGCCUUAUAUAAAAUAUUCAUGGCUUUAGCAUUGAGUUAAACUAUUUUCUUAUCAACCUCAUCCCAUUCUCUUUCGGGUUUGGUUGAUUCUACACCAUCAAUUACCUUAGUGGGUGUGUGUGAUCCAUUAACUAUGAUACUCCACAUAUCAUAGUCAAGUGUUUGAAUAAAAAUUUUCAUCCGAGCUUUUCAAUAGGUGUAGUUUGACCCAUUAAAA
This 222-nucleotide long non-coding RNA is filed under the name Elaeis guineensis (African oil palm). RNAcentral describes it as "long non-coding RNA (EGUI_LNC008169)". Lineage: Eukaryota; Viridiplantae; Streptophyta; Magnoliopsida; Arecales; Arecaceae. The record is from RNAcentral.